Amblyraja radiata (thorny skate) is the source of this 151-nucleotide long non-coding RNA. RefSeq lists it as uncharacterized. NCBI's taxonomy places the organism in Eukaryota, Metazoa, Chordata, Chondrichthyes, Rajiformes, Rajidae. The transcript has 3 exons. The record is from RefSeq and is a predicted model, not a curated record.
AAGCUAUUAUUAACGAAAUGUGCCAGAAGGAACGGUAGAUGUAGGUUUAAACCAAAUAUGGACACAGAAUGCUGGAGUAACUCAGCGGGACAGGUAGCAUCUCUGGAGAGAAGGAAUGGGUGAUGAUUUGGGUCGAGACCCUUCUUCAGAA